This 73-nucleotide transfer RNA is filed under the name Actinomycetes bacterium. Its description in RNAcentral is "Actinobacteria bacterium tRNA-Gly". It matches the Rfam family "tRNA". Rfam says of the family: Transfer RNA (tRNA) molecules are approximately 80 nucleotides in length. Their secondary structure includes four short double-helical elements and three loops (D, anti-codon, and T loops). The record is from RNAcentral. RNAcentral also lists the same sequence under 3 other names. Lineage: Bacteria; Bacillati; Actinomycetota; Actinomycetes.
GCGGCGGUAGCUCAGUUGGUAGAGCGCGAGCUUCCCAAGCUCGAGGUCACGGGUUCGAGACCCGUUCGCCGCU